Molecule: ribosomal RNA, 1510 nt
Filed under: uncultured prokaryote
Description: partial 16S ribosomal RNA
Rfam family: Bacterial small subunit ribosomal RNA
Source: RNAcentral
AGUUUGAUCCUGGCUCAGGAUGAACGCUAGCGGCAGGCUUAACACAUGCAAGUCGAGGGGUAACAGGAAGGAGCUUGCUUCUUCGCUGACGACCGGCGCACGGGUGCGUAACACGUAUGCAACUUACCUCUAACAGGGGGAUAGCCCAGAGAAAUCUGGAUUAAUACCCCAUAACAUUGCGGAUUCACCUGAUUCUGCAAUUAAAGCUCCGGCGGUUAGAGAUAGGCAUGCGGCCCAUUAGUUUGUUGGUAAGGUAACGGCUUACCAAGACUACGAUGGGUAGGGGUUCUGAGAGGAUGACCCCCCACACUGGUACUGAGACACGGACCAGACUCCUACGGGAGGCAGCAGUGAGGAAUAUUGGACAAUGGGCGCAAGCCUGAUCCAGCCAUGCCGCGUGCAGGACGACGGCCCUACGGGUUGUAAACUGCUUUUAUAAGGGAAGAAACUUCCGCUCGUGAGCGGAACUGACGGUACCUUACGAAUAAGCACCGGCUAACUCCGUGCCAGCAGCCGCGGUAAUACGGAGGGUGCAAGCGUUAUCCGGAUUUAUUGGGUUUAAAGGGUCCGUAGGCGGGUCUUUAAGUCAGUGGUGAAAGCCUGCAGCUUAACUGUAGAAUUGCCAUUGAUACUGGAGACCUUGAGUACACUUGAAGUAAGCGGAAUGUGUCAUGUAGCGGUGAAAUGCUUAGAUAUGACCCAGAACACCGAUCGCGAAAGCAGCUUACUAAAUUGUCACUGACGCUGAGGGACGAAAGCGUGGGGAGCGAACAGGAUUAGAUACCCUGGUAGUCCACGCCGUAAACGAUGAUCACUCGAUAUUGGCCUCCGGGCCAGUGUCCAAGCGAAAGUAUUAAGUGAUCCACCUGGGGAGUACGAUCGCAAGAUUGAAACUCAAAGGAAUUGACGGGGGCCCGCACAAGCGGUGGAGCAUGUGGUUUAAUUCGAUGAUACGCGAGGAACCUUACCAGGGCUUAAAUGCAGGACGACCGGUCUGGAAACAGACCUUUCUUCGGACGGUUUGCAAGGUGCUGCAUGGUUGUCGUCAGCUCGUGCCGUGAGGUGUCGGGUUAAGUCCCAUAACGAGCGCAACCCCUAUCUUUAGUUGCCAGCGGGUUAAGCCGGGGACUCUAAAGAAACUGCCAGCGUAAGCUGUGAGGAAGGUGGGGAUGACGUCAAAUCAUCACGGCCCUUACGUCCUGGGCUACACACGUGCUACAAUGGCGGAGACAGUGAGAUGCAAACUCGUGAGGGUGAGCAAAUCUAAAAACUCCGUCUCAGUUCGGAUCGAAGUCUGCAACUCGACUUCGUGAAGCUGGAAUCGCUAGUAAUCGCGUAUCAGCAAUGACGCGGUGAAUACGUUCCCGGGCCUUGUACACACCGCCCGUCAAGCCAUGGAAGCUGGGGGUGCCUGAAGUCGGUGACCGAAAGGAGCUGCCUAGGGCAAAACUGGUGACUGGGGCUAAGUCGGAACAAGGUAGCCGUACCGGAAGGUGCGGCUGGAUCACCU